This 601-nucleotide ribosomal RNA is filed under the name uncultured bacterium. RNAcentral's name for it is "bacterial SSU rRNA". It matches the Rfam family "Bacterial small subunit ribosomal RNA", at positions 46 to 640 of the family's 1533-position model. The record is from RNAcentral.
GCUUUACACAUGCAAGUCGAACGGCAGCACGGGAGCUUGCUCCUGGUGGCGAGUGGCGAACGGGUGAGUAAUGCAUCGGAACGUAUCCAAUAAUGGGGGAUAACGCAGCGAAAGCUGUGCUAAUACCGCAUACGCCCUGAGGGGGAAAGUGGGGGACCGCAAGGCCUCACGUUAAUGGAGCGGCCGAUGUCGGAUUAGCUAGUUGGUGAGGUAAAGGCUCACCAAGGCGACGAUCCGUAGCUGGUCUGAGAGGAUGAUCAGCCACACUGGAACUGAGACACGGUCCAGACUCCUACGGGAGGCAGCAGUGGGGAAUUUUGGACAAUGGGGGCAACCCUGAUCCAGCCAUGCCGCGUGAGUGAAGAAGGCCUUCGGGUUGUAAAGCUCUUUCGCGAGGGAAGAAAACUUACUCAAUAACACUGGGUGAGGCUGACGGUACCUUGAUAAGAAGCACCGGCUAACUACGUGCCAGCAGCCGCGGUAAUACGUAGGGUGCGAGCGUUAAUCGGAAUUACUGGGCGUAAAGCGUGCGCAGGCGGUUUGACAAGUCAGAUGUGAAAGCCCCAGGCUCAACCUGGGAACUGCGUUUGAAACUGUCAGG